AACAUGGAAUCAUCUUUCAAUGCAUUUAAAACAUUUUCGAACAUAUACAAGCCACGCUUUGAAAAACUCACGGUUGUUGUGAAAACACUUACCGCUGUUUGUUAGAUUGUUGAGAUAUUUAUCCGGUCAUUAUAAGGGUUACAAUAACAUGAUUCUGUUAAAACAAGUCGACGCUGCCCAAAACAGUCAACAAACAAUCAUGGCGGAAAUGACAUGGAUUAUGUCACUUCUACGAGGAAUAUGCGUGAAAGCGUAAACAAAUCAAAUGUCAGCCCGGUGCAAUAGUCCCGCGACAGUAUUAUGAUGAUCUACUAUACUGCAGCUGCAGUGUCGAGGAACUGCUGCUGCUGAGCACAUCAUUUUCAAACCCACAACAUGAGAUUUUCAAGCAAGUUACAAGGAAGAGGGACCUUGCCAGUAACCAGGAUGCUGAAAUGAUCGAGGAGGUGAAGUUGCCAAGGGUGACAGGAGAACAUUUAUAGUUGUGAAGAAAUCGGAGGUUACAUUUACACUGAACAUAAAUCUGCUUUUGUGUUAGCUCAGUGCAGUCAAUUAGUCCAGCAUGUUACUACUCGGCCUCACUCCCAUUAAUUUACCAUCCUCAAAACUCUUUCCACUGUUACGCAACAGCACUUUUUUUAACUUGUAAAGACUGCUUCUUUCAUUAUUUAUACCCUUUCAUAGCACAUAUCUAUCUGGGAUAUAGCCCUGUAUGGGGCUGAGUAUUAAAAUGGGGCAAACUUCCUUCAGAAUUCAGAAGGAACUGCAACAUAUGUGCUCCAAAAGGUCUUCAGAAAAGCCACUUUU
Long non-coding RNA from Eleginops maclovinus (Patagonian blennie), 807 nucleotides. RefSeq lists it as uncharacterized. The record is from RefSeq and is a predicted model, not a curated record. The transcript has 3 exons. Lineage: Eukaryota; Metazoa; Chordata; Actinopteri; Perciformes; Eleginopidae.